GCACAAAUUUGAAAUCCCCCCGGGGAGUUGUAAUUUGAAGAUUGCGUCUUGGAGGCGACCGUGUCUAUGUUCCUUGGAACAGGACGUCACAGAGGGUGAGAAUCCCGUGCGGCACGGCCCCCGGCUCCUUAUAAGGCGCUCUCGACGAGUCGAGUUGUUUGGGAAUGCAGCUCAAAGUGGGUGGUAAAUUCCAUCUAAAGCUAAAUACAGGCGAGAGACCGAUAGCGAACAAGUACAGUGAUGGAAAGAUGAAAAGCACUUUGAAAAGAGAGUGAAACAGCACGUGAAAUUGUUGAAAGGGAAGGGCAUGCCGUCAGAUUGUCAGUGUGGGUAAGAAGCGGGGUACAAAGACUGUGGAACGUGGCCCUCGGGUGUUAUAGCCGCAGUUCAUGCCCCGUCUCUUUCCGAGGCCUGCUUUGAGGACACCGACGUAAUGACGGUACGCCG
Molecule: ribosomal RNA, 447 nt
Filed under: Kodamaea ohmeri
Lineage: Eukaryota; Fungi; Ascomycota; Pichiomycetes; Serinales; Debaryomycetaceae
Description: partial large subunit ribosomal RNA
Rfam family: Eukaryotic large subunit ribosomal RNA
Source: RNAcentral